UGAGCCAUUUUGUUUUAGAUUGUAGUCUAUCACUGUGGUGGUCAACUUUUUUUCAAUUCUUUUACUUUUUCAGAAAAUAAAACAAUUUGUUCUCUGCUGUUCCCCACUAGGUAGUCGAUUACAUCAAUUUGGGGGAGGGGGUGCGGAUCAAGAGAAGCCAGUUUGAUAGGAUCAACACCCAAGAUUUUAAAAAAUUUACCAGCGAGCUUUUCCUUGUAACCUUUGGGCGAGAAACUCUUGCCACUCACUCUCUAAAUGGAAGAAAGGCACCCAAUGCAGAGACCAGCAAGGAGGCACUUCCAGCUCACACAGUGUCCGUCUUAAUAGACUAUAUCCAAAAGAAAUUCAGUGUGUCUUCAUCUGAUGUAAAGGCAGUCAUAAGAACCAAGCUUAACAACGAGGACAAGCUAUUCAAAAAACGAAACCUUCCUGAGUAAUGAAAAUAGACUAUAAAGUGUUUAUUUGCAAAUGAUUAAUUUAUUAAUUUAGUUUCUAACUCUCAGCCGGUUAUUUAAAGUUUAAAUAAAUAAAAAAAUGUAUUGUUAAAUUGCAGAUUCACUGUUGUUUUGUACAUAAAUUAAUAUAUGUGUGAAAAUAAAACUAUUUUCUGGAUAACCCGGUUGUAUCUGUACAGCACUUUAUUAGUACUUGUACUUUAGUUGUAAUCUUUAUUUUAGUACUACUGCAGUUGUACUGCAGUUUAGAAAUACUUCAGCUGUACUGCAUCUGCUCCAAUACAUCUAAAGUACUAGUAAAAUAAUACUGUGAUACAGAUUCAGUACAGCUGAAGUACUUCUAAAAUACAACUGCAGUACAACUGCAGUAGUACUACAAUACAAAAGUAAAACUUCAGACUUCUUUUUUUUACAGUAAUACUGCAAUAUUGCAGUUUUUUCGUGUCCAAAAAACUGCAUUUUUCUACAUGUAACAAAAACUGUAGUAUUACUUCUAAAAAACUGCAGUAAUACUCAUGGUUAAGGUUAGGUUUAGGUGUAGGGAUAUGGUUAAGAAUAUAUUUUUGGAGUAAAAUGUUGUUCCAGGGUCAACAAAAUAUGUUGACCUAGGAACACUUCGGACUUGGCAAAAUCAGGACGUGCGUGAGCGUACCAGCUCUGCUUUGUUUACAGCUGUUACUGGGGAAACCUCUAUUUCUCGCGCUUUAUGUCUAUGCUUUAAAACAUCUCCUGCUGGCAAAUAAUUAAUUAGCAUUUUCAUUAAGUCCGCCUGAUCCACACAGAAAACACAUUUUGUUUGUUAUAAAAAAAUAUAUACUCUAGAGGGACUUGGCUGUUGUUAUUGAUUCUAUUUGGAGUCUACCAGAAGUUAAGUUAGGUCCACAAAAGCGCUCACGCGCAUUAACGUUUGUUUAUGUUGAUGCCGUUGAAACCGUCUAUAAAGUACCAUAUUAGUCGCAGCGACGUACCAUAUAACGUUCCAGUGACGUAACUUUGUGAUUCCCAUAUCCGUUGUGGCGACGUUAUAGUGGAACGUCGCUGGAACGUGAUGAGUACGUCCCAGCGACCAAACUGGCACCUUAUGAGGACGUGACAUUACAGGAUCAUAUUGGUAAUUCAUAUUUUCACCUCACCAUUACCUUGAAAUACAUAAAGAACUAAUAAACUCAAUCCAUCUCUGGGGCAAAAAAUAAACCUUAUGAAAUCUAAUUGUAAUCUAAUUAUAGGGGAUUCAUAGUUAAUACAUUAAUUACAUACAUGCAAUGCAAACAAAUACAAAAACAUUCUAAUAUAAAAUAGACAAAAACACACUGCAUUCAUUCACAAAUCAAUAUUUAUUCAGCACUACUUUCUACAAAUACUAAGCCAAAACAUUUUGAACAGUGCACCUGUUCUUUAACCAUGCAAAAUGUUACUAAGUUAUGAACAGAGAAAACUAAACACAUCAAUUCAUAGAUUACACAAUAUAAACAAUAGAAAAUGUUUGUCUUAAGGAUGGGGAGAUGGUUAAUGACGUUAUCAGUGAAAAUUAUAAAUAAUUAUCAGUAAAUUUAUUGAUACAACAUAAUUUAGUGCAACAAAAAAUACAUGAUAAAUAGAUAUGAAACAAUUCAGCAGAUACUGCACAGAGAUACUGCACAAAGUAAAACUGUGAGCGUCGUAUAUGAGGCUCCUGGUAUAAAUGUCUGGUGGUGAUGUGCUUUAAUUACACGACAUGCAGGAAAAUUUUUUGGCUAAUUAAUGCGCACGAUUUUCUAUUUCAUUCCCUCGAUUUGCUAAAACGUGUACACUAUUUAUACAUCAAGAGAACGAAUUAGUAAAUUGUGCAUACGAUUUAGCAAAUCAAUGAAAUGUAAAAGUAAUCGUGUACGUUUUAGUACAUCGAGGGAACAAAUUAGUAAAUCAUGGACAUGAUUUCUUUCUUUUUCUUGCAUGUCAUGAUCAGGGCUCUGUGCUCACUAUCAGAGGAUAAACCUAAAAAAUAAAGCAAUUACCAAAGAACCAUAAUUUUUGAGCUUCUCAGAAGAAAAACAUUCAUAAAGCGUAAAGAUAUGAAAAAUGAAAAAUAUAGAGAUUUCUAGCAUCUCUCCUGUAUUAUUUGUCCCACCCGAAAAAACAAAGUUUUUUAAGAAAAUGAGCAUAUCGACUUUCUCAGAAGAAUCUGUGAUCUCUGAUUACUGACUGUGGAGAAGACUCUUUCAGACAGUGCUGAGGAGGCAGAGUUAGGUGCAGGACAGCUGAUAGAGAAGAGGAAGAGUGUGUUUCUUACCCCAGCAGCAGAAGACAGGCUCUUCUGAGGGAAGGACAGGAGGCUUGAUGCAGUGUUUUGCUUUAGAACAAGGCUCCUUCUCAGCACCUGAUCUUCUUCAGGAAAGAGUUCCUCUAGUUUAGAGUCAGACACUCAGACUUCUUGCAAACUGGAAUCUUUUAAUAACAUUUAGCAUAUUAUUGUAGCCAUGUUCAUUGUUUUUAUUAUAACACAUGGCAAGCUUAUGAGAAAAUUGUUAAACGUGUUCUUCCUCCUCUUCUUCAUCCUGGGCCUGCACUGUCAACAUCCUCUGAGCUGAAAGGGAGGAUCAUCUUGUUAAUGUUGCUCAUGUAUGUUCACAACCAGUCAAAAAUCUGGAAUCUUUUCUUUAUGGUUUUCAAGAGAAGUCUCUUCUGCUCACCAAGGCUAGAUUAAUUUGAUCAAUUUUUUGAAAAAAAAAAAAAAAAAACAGAAAGAAAGAAAUAACAGUUUUCAUACUGUUUUUUUUAAUAUACUUAAACAUAUUUAUUGAAAUAAUUAUGAGGCAAAGCUGAAUUUUUCAGUAACUUUACUCCAGUCUUCAGUGUCACAUGAUCUUUUUCAUAUACUGGUAUGCUGAU
RNAcentral lists this long non-coding RNA (3323 nucleotides) under Carassius auratus (goldfish). RNAcentral describes it as "lncRNA (ENSCARG00000046713.1)". The record is from RNAcentral. Lineage: Eukaryota; Metazoa; Chordata; Actinopteri; Cypriniformes; Cyprinidae.